This 341-nucleotide ribosomal RNA is filed under the name uncultured Butyrivibrio sp. Its description in RNAcentral is "partial 16S ribosomal RNA". Lineage: Bacteria; Bacillati; Bacillota; Clostridia; Lachnospirales; Lachnospiraceae. The record is from RNAcentral.
GGAGUCUGGGCCGUGUCUCAGUCCCAAUGUGGCCGUCCGCCCUCUCAGGCCGGCUACUGAUCGUCGCUUCGGUGGGCCGUUACCCCGCCGACUGGCUAAUCAGAUGCGGAUCCAUCCUGUACCGAUUAUUCUUUUCACCCUGCACCAUGCGGUGCCGGGCGCUUAUGCGGUAUUACCAGCCGUUUCCAGCUGCUAUCCCCCAGUGUGAGGCAGGUUAUCCACGCGUUACUCACCCGUCCGCCACUAAGUUAAGUUCCAUCCGAAAAUUUCUCUUAACCCCGUUCGACUUGCAUGUGUUAGGCACGCCGCCAGCGUUCAUCCUGAGCCAUGAUCAAACUACU